GCUCAUGCAGUCGAGCGGGGGAAGGUAGCUUGCUACCGGACCUAGCGGCGGACGGGUGAGUAAUGCUUAGGAAUCUGCCUAUUAGUGGGGGACAACAUCUCGAAAGGGAUGCUAAUACCGCAUACGUCCUACGGGAGAAAGCAGGGGAUCUUCGGACCUUGCGCUAAUAGAUGAGCCUAAGUCGGAUUAGCUAGUUGGUGGGGUAAAGGCCUACCAAGGCGACGAUCUGUAGCGGGUCUGAGAGGAUGAUCCGCCACACUGGGACUGAGACACGGCCCAGACUCCUACGGGAGGCAGCAGUGGGGAAUAUUGGACAAUGGGGGGAACCCUGAUCCAGCCAUGCCGCGUGUGUGAAGAAGGCCUUAUGGUUGUAAAGCACUUUAAGCGAGGAGGAGGCUACUCUAGUUAAUACCUAGAGAUAGUGGACGUUACUCGCAGAAUAAGCACCGGCUAACUCUGUGCCAGCAGCCGCGGUAAUACAGAGGGUGCGAGCGUUAAUCGGAUUUACUGGGCGUAAAGCGUGCGUAGGCGGCUUAUUAAGUCGGAUGUGAAAUCCCCGAGCUUAACUUGGGAAUUGCAUUCGAUACUGGUGAGCUAGAGUAUGGGAGAGGAUGGUAGAAUUCCAGGUGUAGCGGUGAAAUGCGUAGAGAUCUGGAGGAAUACCGAUGGCGAAGGCAGCCAUCUGGCCUAAUACUGACGCUGAGGUACGAAAGCAUGGGGAGCAAACAGGAUUAGAUACCCUGGUAGUCCAUGCCGUAAACGAUGUCUACUAGCCGUUGGGGCCUUUGAGGCUUUAGUGGCGCAGCUAACGCGAUAAGUAGACCGCCUGGGGAGUACGGUCGCAAGACUAAAACUCAAAUGAAUUGACGGGGGCCCGCACAAGCGGUGGAGCAUGUGGUUUAAUUCGAUGCAACGCGAAGAACCUUACCUGGCCUUGACAUACUAGAAACUUUCCAGAAUGGAUUGGUGCCUUCGGGAAUCUAGAUACGGCUGCAUGGCUGUCGUCAGCUCG
This 1012-nucleotide ribosomal RNA is filed under the name Acinetobacter baumannii. RNAcentral's name for it is "bacterial SSU rRNA". It matches the Rfam family "Bacterial small subunit ribosomal RNA", at positions 51 to 1062 of the family's 1533-position model. Lineage: Bacteria; Pseudomonadati; Pseudomonadota; Gammaproteobacteria; Moraxellales; Moraxellaceae. The record is from RNAcentral.